ACUGGCACAGUGCCAUGUGCCUGUAGUCCCAGCUACUCAGGAGGCGGAGGUGGGAGGAUUGCUGGGGCCCAGGAGUUCUGGGCUGUAGUGUGCUAUGCUGAUUGCUUAGUGCAGACAGUAAGUUCAGCAUCAAUAUGGUGACCUUCUGGGAGUGGGGGACCAGCAGGUUGCCUCAGGAGGGGUGAACCGGCCCAGGUCGGAAACUCCCAUUCUGAUCAGUAGUAGGAUCGUGCCUAUGAAUAGCCACUGCACUCCAGCCUGGGCAACAUAGCGAGACCCCCGUCCC
Molecule: signal recognition particle RNA, 286 nt
Filed under: Saimiri boliviensis boliviensis (Bolivian squirrel monkey)
Lineage: Eukaryota; Metazoa; Chordata; Mammalia; Primates; Cebidae
Description: Metazoan signal recognition particle RNA (ENSSBOG00000003518.1)
Rfam family: Metazoan signal recognition particle RNA
About the family: The signal recognition particle (SRP) is a universally conserved ribonucleoprotein. It is involved in the co-translational targeting of proteins to membranes. The eukaryotic SRP consists of a 300-nucleotide 7S RNA and six proteins: SRPs 72, 68, 54, 19, 14, and 9.
Source: RNAcentral